CCUACGGGCGGCAGUAGUGAGGAAUAUUGGUCAAUGGUCGGGAGCCUGAACCAGCCAAGCCGCGUGAGGGAUGAAGGUACAGAGUAUCGUAAACCUCUUUUGUCAGGGAACAAAGGCGGGGACGUGUCCCCUUCUGAGUGUACCUGAAGAACAAGCAUCGGCUAACUCCGUGCCAGCAGCCGCGGUAAUACGGAGGCUGCGAGCGUUAUCCGGAUUUCUUGGGUUUAAAGGGUGCGCAGGCGGUCUGUUAAGUCAGCGGUCAAAGCCCGGGGCUCAACCCCGGCCCGCCGUUGAAACUGGCAGUCUCGAGUGGGAGAGAAGUAUGCGGAAUGCGCGGUGUAGCGGUGAAAUGCAUAGAUAUCGCGCAGAACUCCGAUUGCGAAGGCAGCAUGCCGGCUCCACACUGACGCUGAGGCACGAAAGCGUGGGUAUCGAACAGGAUUAGAUACCCGUGUAGUC
This 459-nucleotide ribosomal RNA is filed under the name uncultured bacterium. RNAcentral describes it as "partial 16S ribosomal RNA". It matches the Rfam family "Bacterial small subunit ribosomal RNA", at positions 338 to 795 of the family's 1533-position model. The record is from RNAcentral.